Molecule: transfer RNA, 72 nt
Filed under: Heterocephalus glaber (naked mole-rat)
Lineage: Eukaryota; Metazoa; Chordata; Mammalia; Rodentia; Bathyergidae
Rfam family: tRNA
About the family: Transfer RNA (tRNA) molecules are approximately 80 nucleotides in length.
Source: Rfam by way of RNAcentral
GGAGGUGUAGCUCAGUGGUACAGCACUUGCCUAGCACGUGCGAGAUCCUGGGUUCUAUCCCCAGCACUGCAA